RNAcentral lists this transfer RNA (73 nucleotides) under Pseudomonadales bacterium. Its description in RNAcentral is "tRNA-His". It matches the Rfam family "tRNA". Rfam says of the family: Transfer RNA (tRNA) molecules are approximately 80 nucleotides in length. Their secondary structure includes four short double-helical elements and three loops (D, anti-codon, and T loops). Further hydrogen bonds mediate the characteristic L-shaped molecular structure. tRNAs have two regions of fundamental functional importance: the anti-codon, which is responsible for specific mRNA codon recognition, and the 3' end, to which the tRNAs corresponding amino acid is attached (by aminoacyl-tRNA synthetases). tRNAs cope with the degeneracy of the genetic code in two manners: having more than one tRNA (with a specific anti-codon) for a particular amino acid; and 'wobble' base-pairing, i.e. permitting non-standard base-pairing at the 3rd anti-codon position. Lineage: Bacteria; Pseudomonadati; Pseudomonadota; Gammaproteobacteria; Pseudomonadales. The record is from RNAcentral.
GUGAAUGUAGCUCAAUUGGAAGAGCACCGGGUUGUGUCCCCGGAGGUUGAGGGUUCGAGCCCCUUCAUUCACC